ACGGAAGGCAGCAGUGGGGAAUAUUGGGCAAUGGACGAAAGUCUGACCCAGCGACGCCGCGUGAGGGAAGAAGGUCUUCGGAUUGUAAACCUUAGUUAUCGGGGAAGAAGAAAGUGACGGUACCCGAAGAGAAAGCCACGGCUAACUACGUGCCAGCAGCCGCGGUAAUACGUAGGUGGCGAGCGUUGUCCGGAUUUACUGGGUGUAAAGGGCGUGUAGGCGGGACUGCAAGUCAGAUGUGAAAACUAUGGGCUUAACUCAUAGCCUGCAUUUGAAACUGUGGUUCUUGAGUGUCGGAGAGGUAAAUGGAAUUCCCGGUGUAGCGGUGAAAUGCGUAGAGAUCGGGAGGAACACCGGUGGCGAAGGCGAUUUACUGGACGACAACUGACGCUGAGACACGAAAGCGUGGGGAGCAAACAGGAUUAGAUACCCUGGUA
The sequence is a ribosomal RNA, 437 nucleotides long. It matches the Rfam family "Bacterial small subunit ribosomal RNA", at positions 341 to 792 of the family's 1533-position model.